Long non-coding RNA from Amphimedon queenslandica, 205 nucleotides. RefSeq lists it as uncharacterized. The record is from RefSeq and is a predicted model, not a curated record. The transcript is spliced from 3 exons. Lineage: Eukaryota; Metazoa; Porifera; Demospongiae; Haplosclerida; Niphatidae.
GUCAUUACAGCUGCUAGGAUGGAAUGGGUGUAGUCUAUCUUUUAUCGUGUGACAGUAAACAAAAAUCAAUUUUACAUGUAACUUCAAAGCACAAGCUAAUAGUAGAAGAUUCUAUUAUAACUUACAAUUAUACUGACUAUGAUUAUUGGUAACUUUUUAUUGUGUUUUGUGAAUUGUUUUUAUAAAGUUUUAUUGUCAAACUCAA